GCUGGGUAUAGUGGUGUAUGCCUGUAAUCCCAGUAACUCAGGAGGCUGAGGUAGGAAGAUCCCAGGUUUAAGGCCAGCAGCAGCAAUUUGACAAGGCCAUAAGAUACUUGAAACACAGUCCUUUU
This 125-nucleotide small RNA is filed under the name Marmota monax (woodchuck). The record is from RNAcentral. Lineage: Eukaryota; Metazoa; Chordata; Mammalia; Rodentia; Sciuridae.